This 497-nucleotide ribosomal RNA is filed under the name uncultured bacterium. RNAcentral describes it as "partial 16S ribosomal RNA". It matches the Rfam family "Bacterial small subunit ribosomal RNA", at positions 28 to 507 of the family's 1533-position model. The record is from RNAcentral.
GAUGAACGCUGGCGGCGUGCCUAAUACAUGCAAGUCGAGCGAACAGACGAGGAGCUUGCUCCUCUGACGUUAGCGGCGGACGGGUGAGUAACACGUGGAUAACCUACCUAUAAGACUGGGAUAACUUCGGGAAACCGGAGCUAAUACCGGAUAAUAUAUUGAACCGCAUGGUUCAAUAGUGAAAGACGGUUUUGCUGUCACUUAUAGAUGUAUCCGCGCCGCAUUAGCUAGUUGGUAAGGUAACGGCUUACCAAGGCAACGAUGCGUAGCCGACCUGCGAGGGUGAUCGGCCACACUGGAACUGAGACACGGUCCAGACUCCUACGGGAGGCAGCAGUAGGGAAUCUUCCGCAAUGGGCGAAAGCCUGACGGAGCAACGCCGCGUGAGUGAUGAAGGUCUUCGGAUCGUAAAACUCUGUUAUUAGGGAAGAACAAAUGUGUAAGUAACUAUGCACGUCUUGACGGUACCUAAUCAGAAAGCCACGGCUAACUACGUG